AUGUCCCAGUCUUUCAAGAGAAGGUUCUCACAGAGAUCUUCAACCUGCCCUGCAACUGCCAGCACAACUGGUCUGCCGCCAAAGGCUGAGUCUGCUGCUCCAUCUCGACUGGGCAGGAAGUUGAUGCUCAGUUCUACUUCUGGUGGCAGAGAUCACGAGUCCCAAGUGCAAGAGAAAAGUAGCAAGGAUGUUGCACUCAGGUUUGGUGUUACAGAAGGGACUCCUGCCAAGUUUGCCUCUACACCAGUGAGAUCAAUGGCAGGCACACCGAACCUUGUGACCCCACAGAGGCCAAUAUCUGCUACUGUGUGUGACACGCCACCUCUAAAAACGGUCAAGCGAUCAGCUAGAGCCAAGUUGUUCAUGAUACCUACAAAGGUUGCAAGCAGAAUGGAAGAAGAGAACCAGAUUGUGAGCACAUCUCCAAGCGAUGGCGAUGAUGAGCUCGGUUUCCUUCCAAAGUCUCUCUUGCAAUCGGUAAAGGAGAAGGAGAAGAGAACUUUAGAGGAGAAGGAAACAGGCUAUGCAGAUCAGGUUCAGCGGCAGAAGCUCAUAUCAUGUCUGCCAAGCACCUUUGACAUCACCUUCCUUUGUUGGAGCCAGGAACACCUACAAGCUCUAGAUCACGGCAACAAUGCUAGCUAA
RNAcentral lists this ribosomal RNA (645 nucleotides) under Triticum aestivum (bread wheat). Its description in RNAcentral is "partial small subunit ribosomal RNA". The record is from RNAcentral. Lineage: Eukaryota; Viridiplantae; Streptophyta; Magnoliopsida; Poales; Poaceae.